Vicia faba (fava bean) is the source of this 291-nucleotide non-coding RNA. The record is from the annotation of a GenBank genome assembly. NCBI's taxonomy places the organism in Eukaryota, Viridiplantae, Streptophyta, Magnoliopsida, Fabales, Fabaceae.
AUGAAGCGAGGAAGGCGAGGCAACGUCGGAUCCGCGACAGAUUCACAAGAAGGAGAAGCAAACACUGUGAUGGUUCUGUUUGCAAAAUUGAAUCUCCGACCGUCACCGCCUGAGUGGCCCAUCAGCAGCUACCGCUUUGCCUCUGUACCAAUCAGAAACAAGUUGGAUAAGAGUCGCACUGAACCCAACUGGCCGCCGGCAAACAGUGCCGGACUUGGCCGUCGGAGAAUUUACAACCGCCCUAGCUCCGAUCCGCACCGCACCGCACAGCACCUAGAUUGCGCGAACUGA